RNAcentral lists this ribosomal RNA (26 nucleotides) under Blumea aromatica. The record is from RNAcentral. Lineage: Eukaryota; Viridiplantae; Streptophyta; Magnoliopsida; Asterales; Asteraceae.
UUGGGAAGUCCUCGUGUUGCACACCC